Chroicocephalus ridibundus (black-headed gull) is the source of this 1555-nucleotide long non-coding RNA. RefSeq lists it as uncharacterized. The record is from RefSeq and is a predicted model, not a curated record. The transcript is spliced from 6 exons. NCBI's taxonomy places the organism in Eukaryota, Metazoa, Chordata, Aves, Charadriiformes, Laridae.
GAGGCCCCGCCCUCACCGAGGAGGGAGGAGCGGGGGCUCUGAGGCCGGUGUUGUGGCCUCAGGGGACCGCGGAGAGGGAAGAGGAGGAGGAGGAGGAUGCGAGUGCGCACGGGAAACUGGCUGGUUUGCCUGCCGAAUUUAGCUGGCUGGUGUGUGCAUACGACCACUUCCUGGCAGACGUUCAGAUCUGUCACCUCUCUGUGGAAUGCUGGAGCCGGUUUCUGAACGACAUGGUUCUGACAUACAAGGCAUAAAUAUAGUAGUACAGGAACUACAGAGCUAACCUGAACACCAGGAACGCGCCAGUGGCAAGAAACAGAGUUUGAGCAACGAAAAAGCCAAUCACCGACGCCUUCUCAUACCAACAGCUCUGAAACCAAACUGACGUGAAAUUGGGGAUUUGAAAAUACUGCAUACGACCAGAGCUUUUCUUUGCUACUGCAGGAAUCCUAACAAGGGAGAAGAUAAUGAAGAAGACUGUCCCUUGUUUUCAGUCCUGGAAAAUCAUGUAAAAGUAUAACAGGCUUUUUUAGUCAUGCUGCAGCGUAUGCAAGAAAAGAAAGGAGUGGCUCCUGUAAGCGAACAAGGCCAUCUCAGCAGAUGACCAGCUGUGGACAUAAAGGAACGCAUUUCUAUCUGUUUUCCAUGUGUUCACCGUUAAAUUGCUAUCAGCUCCUGCGCAGUGAGAGCACAUAGGUUAAGUCGCACGUGAAAUGAAUGUGUUGAUGUGCGACAGACUUUUGCACGAAGAUGGUUAGAAACUGUUCAGCCCCAACUUUUAGGGUUCUCUCUCUGUUUUUUUGUUGUGAUUCCACAAAGUACUACAACCAUUACUGAAGAAACUCACUCUACCAUUGAUAGUGGUCCUUCCAGUUUUAAAAGCAGCCUUCGCUGCCCUGUGCAGCGCUUGGCUACGCUGUACCUUACCAAUAUUUAGGACCUUAUCCUUCAAACACUUGGUAUACAAUAUGCAAUCCUUCUGAAAAGUAAAAUUACGUGUGUAUAUAAUACACACAUGUUCUUGAAGACAAAGGCACUAUGAAAUAAAAAUUACACGUCAUAUGCCUUGUUCCUCUGCAAGUUGAACUCUUUCAGUAAAAUUGUUGUUGACUCCCACAGCAUGAAGAUGUGAACAAAGGUAUGACGGAUGUCAUUAAUGGUAGUGUUGCAUCUAUUUUCCCCUGUCUAUUGGAGGUAUCUAAGCAAUUUGCUGCCUUACAAAGAGCAUCCACCCUUUGAAAUACCCUUGCAAAGCUUAAGUAAGGCUUUUUAACUGGAAGAACCUGUAAGAACAACUUUUGAGAUAUCUGAAUCUAAGCAGAAAUCAACAGCUUCUCAAUCUGUAUCUGCUUUCUUUUUGUUCAUACAAUUAAUACUUUGGCUCAGCUACAAUGAGAAAUACAGGUGCAGUUUUCCAUUAAGCUAAUGGAAACUAUGAAAAUACUUUCCAAGGAAUUAAUUUGGCUACUAAGAUAUAAUAUAUCACAUUCCAAUUAACUCUAUGGUAAAAGAUGAUGAUUUCAUAACAACAAGGCUGCGAUUUCACUGUAGGGCC